CCUACGGGAGGCAGCAGUGGGGAAUAUUGCACAAUGGGGGAAACCCUGAUGCAGCGACGCCGCGUGAGUGAAGAAGGAAUUCGGUAUGUAAAGCUCUAUCAGCAGGGAAGAAAAUGACGGUACCUGAGUAAGAAGCCGCGGCUAACGACGUGCCAGCAGCCGCGGUAAUACGGAGGGGGCAAGCGUUAUCCGGAUUUACUGGGUGUAAAGGGAGCGUAGCCGGCAGUGCAAGUCUGGAGUGAAAGGCGGGGGCUCAACCCCCGGACUGCUCUGGAAACUGUACGGCUGGAGUGCAGGAGAGGUAAGUGGAAUUCCUAGUGUAGCGGUGAAAUGCGUAGAUAUUAGGAGGAACACCAGUGGCGAAGGCGGCUUACUGGACUGUAACUGACGUUGAGGCUCGAAAGCGUGGGGAGCACACAGGAUUAGAUACCCUAGUAGUC
This 440-nucleotide ribosomal RNA is filed under the name uncultured bacterium. Its description in RNAcentral is "partial 16S ribosomal RNA". It matches the Rfam family "Bacterial small subunit ribosomal RNA", at positions 338 to 795 of the family's 1533-position model. The record is from RNAcentral.